RNAcentral lists this ribosomal RNA (513 nucleotides) under Vibrio sp. HDEP33. RNAcentral's name for it is "bacterial SSU rRNA". It matches the Rfam family "Bacterial small subunit ribosomal RNA", at positions 371 to 876 of the family's 1533-position model. The record is from RNAcentral. Lineage: Bacteria; Pseudomonadati; Pseudomonadota; Gammaproteobacteria; Vibrionales; Vibrionaceae.
AUGGGCGCAAGCCUGAUGCAGCCAUGCCGCGUGUAUGAAGAAGGCCUUCGGGUUGUAAAGUACUUUCAGCAGUGAGGAAGGGGGUGUCGUUAAUAGCGGCAUCUCUUGACGUUAGCUGCAGAAGAAGCACCGGCUAACUCCGUGCCAGCAGCCGCGGUAAUACGGAGGGUGCGAGCGUUAAUCGGAAUUACUGGGCGUAAAGCGCAUGCAGGUGGUUUGUUAAGUCAGAUGUGAAAGCCCGGGGCUCAACCUCGGAACUGCAUUUGAAACUGGCAAACUAGAGUACUGUAGAGGGGGGUAGAAUUUCAGGUGUAGCGGUGAAAUGCGUAGAGAUCUGAAGGAAUACCAGUGGCGAAGGCGGCCCCCUGGACAGAUACUGACACUCAGAUGCGAAAGCGUGGGGAGCAAACAGGAUUAGAUACCCUGGUAGUCCACGCCGUAAACGAUGUCUACUUGGAGGUUGUGGCCUUGAGCCGUGGCUUUCGGAGCUAACGCGUUAAGUAGACCGCCUGG